This 251-nucleotide ribosomal RNA is filed under the name uncultured bacterium. RNAcentral describes it as "partial 16S ribosomal RNA". It matches the Rfam family "Bacterial small subunit ribosomal RNA", at positions 525 to 775 of the family's 1533-position model. The record is from RNAcentral.
ACAGAGGGUGCAAGCGUUAAUCGGAAUUACUGGGCGUAAAGCGCGCGUAGGUGGUUCGAUAAGUUGGAUGUGAAAUCCCCGGGCUCAACCUGGGAACUGCAUCCAAAACUGGCGAGCUAGAGUAGGACAGAGGGUGGUGGAAUUUCCUGUGUAGCGGUGAAAUGCGUAGAUAUAGCAAGGAACACCAGUGGCGAAGGCGACCACCUGGGCUAAUACUGACACUGAAGUGCGAAAGCGUGGGGAGCAAACAG